RNAcentral lists this unclassified non-coding RNA (312 nucleotides) under Hevea brasiliensis (rubber tree). The record is from RNAcentral. Lineage: Eukaryota; Viridiplantae; Streptophyta; Magnoliopsida; Malpighiales; Euphorbiaceae.
CCAAUUGGAGGUGAAACUAGGCACAAAAUGUGCCAACUUUCAUUGAGAAAACAUACCAAAAUUCUGCUUGCAAGGUGACCUAAGAAAAUGACCAAUUCGGAUUAGGUGCAAUUAGGACCUGAAAAAUGACCAAUUGGGCAGCAGUGAGUGUUUAGGCCAUAACUCACUCAAACCAGGUCCAAUUGACCUGAAAUUUUAACCAUGAAUAGUUAAGACCCAUACCUACAAGUCUUAUGAAGACACCAACACCCAAAAAUUACCAUAAGCAAGUCGAAUAGCUUGCACAAUUUCGGGUCCAAAAACUGGCCGAAC